This 473-nucleotide ribosomal RNA is filed under the name uncultured bacterium. Its description in RNAcentral is "bacterial SSU rRNA". It matches the Rfam family "Bacterial small subunit ribosomal RNA", at positions 332 to 793 of the family's 1533-position model. The record is from RNAcentral.
AUCACUCCUACGGGGAGGCAGCAGUGGGGAAUAUUGCACAAUGGGNGCAAGCCUGAUGCAGCCAUGCCCGCGUGUGUGAAGAAGGGCCUUCGGGGUUGUAAAGCACUUUCAGUUGUGAGGAAGGUGGUGUCGUUAAUAGCGGCAUCAUUUGACGUUAGCAACAGAAGAAGCACCGGCUAACUCCGUGCCAGCAGCCGCGGUAAUACGGAGGGUGCGAGCGUUAAUCGGAAUUACUGGGCGUAAAGCGCAUGCAGGUGGUUUGUUAAGUCAGAUGUGAAAGCCCGGGGCUCAACCUCGGAACUGCAUUUGAAACUGGCAGACUAGAGUACUGUAGAGGGGGGUAGAAUUUCAGGUGUAGCGGUGAAAUGCGUAGAGAUCUGAAGGAAUACCGGUGGCGAAGGCGGCCCCCUGGACAGAUACUGACACUCAGAUGCGAAAGCGUGGGGAGCAAACAGGAUUAGAUACCCUGGUAG